AUGGGGAAUAGCAGCUCCAGGCCAAGGAUUUGCCAAGUUGCACCAUCUCAUUGUCAACCAAUGGCAAAUGAACCUUCUCUGUUUCCAUCUUCAUCAUGGAUGAUCACUGCUGUUAAAGGUGCAGAGAUGCAAGAGAAAGGGAUUGUGGGACAGAGGAAUACAAACCAUCUGCUGCCUCUGACAGGAAGACACAAAAUACCUAAUUCUGUUAAUUUAAAACCAGGAUCUCAGAGUGUCUGUGAUAAAACUUGUCACACCAUUAUUAAGUCUCACCCACCACAACCAGCAAAGGAAUGGCAAUCAAUGACCCUUGCCAUAAGGGCUGAGGUGAAUCCUGUCAAACAUGCAUGCGUGGCAUACAAAUCCACAGAAUUUCAGGACAGGGAGUCGAGAAAUGGGCCUGUCCACUGCUAUUCCAAUCCCAUCCUGGGAGGGCACUGUGGCAGAAGCAAAACACUACAGGAACGGAGAGUUUGUGAUGGUGUUUCAAGACUAAAAGAUGUAGAUAAAGAGGGAGAAGACUGA
This is a long non-coding RNA of Cyprinus carpio (common carp), 525 nucleotides long. NCBI's taxonomy places the organism in Eukaryota, Metazoa, Chordata, Actinopteri, Cypriniformes, Cyprinidae. The record is from Ensembl.